UACUGAAAGAGAUUUGAAUGUGAUCAUUGAGAAAGUUUCGGUUGAGAAAGUUGUUUGUUUGUAGAAAUGUUUGCCUUUGAUGUUUGAUCACAGAGAGUUUUGUGGGUUUUGUGUGCAGCUUUGCGGUUCUUUUGAGGUUCAGAUGCUGGUUACCAAACAUGAGUUCACUUCAACAUUCACACAAUGACUCCAGACAGGCGGUUAAGAAGAGAGGGGUCAUGCAGCGAGACUGGUCCAAGGAGAUACCUGAUCACUUCCACACGGACGAGUCUGCUGCUCAGUCUAGCAGGACUGGUCUGAUCUGCUGGACCUGGAUUGAAGAAAAAGCCUUUGAAGAUGUGCACUUGAUGUUUCCUCUUCCUUUCAGGUCUUUGAUUUGAUGAAAGAUGAAAAAAAGCCUGAAUUACAGUAUCACUUUCCCUCAAAACUAUACCUUUAGACUAGAAUCUGAUAGAAAUCUGUCUGUCGUCUUCUUUUGAAUUUUCAUAAACAAACCCCCAAGAAACAACCACAGCAGAACCUCCAGCUGAUCUCCCUUCCUGACCUGCAGCUUCCCAUCAGAUCCCCUGCAGACCCCCGCUGAGUGUAAUAUCCCGACCCGAUUACGCACCUGAAGAGCGUGAAAAUCACGUCUCACGUCUCCUUCUGGACCACACCUUCUAGACUGGAGCAGAGAACUCAGUGUUCAGACUCAUCCUGAACUUUCAGUUUAAACCCCUGGAUCAAACUCCAGACAAUAAAAAGACUGAAAUGCAGACAUCACCGAAUCGAACAUCAGACCAAAGUGUUGCUUGUUGGAGCAACUGGAUCUUCUCAGCAUGAUCUUCACAUUCAUCUCUAGGAACAUGGAACACUCAGAUGAAGUUAUGACCGACCUCCCUAACAAAUCCUCAGACCAGAGUCAGAGCUCACACAUCUUCUCCCUGCGGAGAUCGCGUUUGAGAACGACGUCUGGGAAAACAUGCAACACGGAUCGACAUUUUUACUACGAUUUCGCCGAAUUUCAUCACGACAUGAGACAAUACAUUCAUAAAAACAUCCAUCAGUUCCAUUCCAGCAGCUAUAAAUCAUCAUAAAGUCUUUUACUGAGCCCAAAAGCUCUGAGUUCAUUCGUGCACAGUGAAAUAUCCUUCAUCCUGGAUGGAAACUCUGAUCUGCUCCUGAGGUUCAACCACCAGGAUCAUGAUGAAAUGUUCAUGUGAUGUAGAGAAACAUAUUCUAAUCAACUUAAUCCAGCGUGUGUUUUUAAUCAAACGUAUUAAUCCAACAAACUGACCUAAUAAUCAGUAAAGAAGCUGUUAGAUACAGUAGAAGUAGCUGAUUAAACCUAUUUAUCUGAUAAUCUCAUGUGAUCUUUUUACUCCAAGUAUAAUAAUAAUAAUAAUAAUAAUGAGAUAGGAAUAGAGUGGAGUCUGACUGGUGAUGUGAGUGUGUAGGAGAGACAGAACAACAACGAACAAGGCAGACUUAAACGUGUUUAUUGGGAAAAAUAAAUCAGGGUCAGAAUCAGGUGAAGUUAUGGGAGGAUCAUAAUAAUCAGGAGAAGUAGGAGACCAACAUGAAGGCUAAGGAGGAGACGGUAGAGUUGAUGUAGGAAUGCAGGAGUCGUCAUCAAAGUCCUCAUUAGAGGUUUGUUUCUUCUGAAGAUAAACAGCAGGGAGGUCAGACGAGGUCUGUGUGCCCAUAUCACGUGUAAAAGCACGAUACGAGGAGGCAGACAGGGGUUCUCUGGAACAGCUGGAGUAGAGAGAGAAAUCGAGCGACCUCAGUGACGAGGCAGAAGAACUGAAACUGACGAUACUGUCUGUGGAGAACGCUCUUAAGACCUGUCCCAGAACGUCUGUGAGAUGGAGCUGAAUAAAGGAAACCAACAGAGAUACGAUGUAAAAGAGUGAACUGAAAAAAAUAAGGGGAAUUUGCCAAGAAAAAGAAAUUAGAAAAAGGUUCCAGGUGACUUCAGGGUAUAAGUGUGUGUGUGUGUGUGUGUGUGUGUGUGUGUGUGUGUGCUGGAUCAUUUUGAUGUGAUCACCUUCUAUGGGCUCAUUAGAACAAGACUGCAAUAAAGAAGUUUUUGCUUUUA
This is a long non-coding RNA of Silurus meridionalis, 2080 nucleotides long. RefSeq lists it as uncharacterized. Lineage: Eukaryota; Metazoa; Chordata; Actinopteri; Siluriformes; Siluridae. The record is from RefSeq and is a predicted model, not a curated record. The transcript has 3 exons.